RNAcentral lists this small nuclear RNA (154 nucleotides) under Echinops telfairi (small Madagascar hedgehog). RNAcentral's name for it is "U1 spliceosomal RNA (ENSETEG00000021631.1)". It matches the Rfam family "U1 spliceosomal RNA". Rfam says of the family: U1 is a small nuclear RNA (snRNA) component of the spliceosome (involved in pre-mRNA splicing). Its 5' end forms complementary base pairs with the 5' splice junction, thus defining the 5' donor site of an intron. The record is from RNAcentral. Lineage: Eukaryota; Metazoa; Chordata; Mammalia; Afrosoricida; Tenrecidae.
GGGGGGUGGGGUACCAUGAUCACGAAGGUGGUUUUCCCAGGGAGAGGCUUAUCCAUUGCACUCCGGGUGUGCUGACCCCUGCAAUUUCCCGAAAUGUGGGAAACUCGACUGCAUAAUUUGUGGUAGUGGGGGCCUGCGCUUGCACUCUCCUCUG